AUGGUUAACCAGGCGGAGGACCCAUGUAUAAGGAGGUCCUGCUCAGGGCCACCUCAGAGAGCCAGGAUUCCACAGGAUGCUCUGGGCCAAGGGGCUGGGGCUGGCGGUGGGGGCCGUGGCCCUCCUGGGGCUGGGGCUCAUCCUGGGCCACUUUGCCAUCCCCAAAGGGGCCAACUCCCAAGCCCCCAGCACCUCAGGCUCCCAGGACCUGGACCUGGAGAUGCUUGCGACCGUCGUGGGGCAGAUGGAGGCCAGCAGGAUCCGGGAGAACCUGCGGGAGCUGUCCCGGGAGCCGCACAUGGCCACGGGCCCCCGGGACGAGACCCUGGUGCAGCUGCUGUUGCAGCGCUGGCGGGACCCGGAGUCAGGCCUGGACGCGGCCGCGACCAACGAGCACGAGGUCCUGCUGUCCUUCCCCAGCUCGGAGCAGCCCAACCUCAUCCGCGUCGUGAGCUCCACUGGCGAUGUCCUGCACACCUAUCACCUGCGGGAGGAGAACGUGACUGGAGAGCACGCGGGGCUGGACGUGGUGCAGCUCUUCGCCGCCUACGCUCCCGUCCGGAAUCUCUCAGGUGGGCCUGGGCCCCUCCUCCCCUCUUCUCGCUCCUGCACUCCCACCCAACUUCGACCCCCAGGCACCCGAACGAAGGUGUUUGGCGGGGGCGGAGCUUAAGCCCCGUCCCCCAAAAGAGACUUCCCACACACGCCCUCGGCAGGCCUUCAGUACAGAGUCAUCCAACAGUCACCAGCGGCCCCUCCUCAAGUCCGGGCCUGGUACAAGGCCCCUGGACGCAGAGGAAACCAAGGGCGACUGUCCCUGGGGCGCCCACACCGCAGAAUCCAAGCCGCCUCCUGCCCCGGCCCCUUGCCGGCCCGGCUCUGAGGGUCCCCUCCCCUUUGGUCUAGGGCCCCCUCGUCUUCGCCAACCAGGGCACUGAACAGGACUUCGAGAGGCUGCGGGCUGAGGGCGUCGCACUCGAGGGCACCAUCGCCCUAACUCGCUACGGGGGUGCGGGCCGCGGGGCCAAGGUGAGCGCUGGGCUGGGGCGGGGCCCGGGCUUGCUGCUACUCAGGGAGUGGCCUUCCUGCCUCCCCGCGGAGGGGCUGUGUGGGCUUGGACGCCCACGCAACCCCUCUGAGCCUUAGAAAUAAAGGGGUUGGGUCGGAUCUUUUUUUUUUUUUU
RNAcentral lists this long non-coding RNA (1183 nucleotides) under Oryctolagus cuniculus (rabbit). RNAcentral's name for it is "lncRNA (ENSOCUG00000034815.1)". Lineage: Eukaryota; Metazoa; Chordata; Mammalia; Lagomorpha; Leporidae. The record is from RNAcentral.